UGUGUACUCCCUCCGUUCCAAAAUACUUGACUUCCAUUUGUCCAAAAAUGGAUGUACCUAUAUACUAAAACAUGUCUAGAUACAUAUAUAUUUUGACAAAUAGAAGGCAUGUACUGUGCAACGGAGGGAGUAGAAU
Non-coding RNA from Triticum aestivum (bread wheat), 136 nucleotides. NCBI's taxonomy places the organism in Eukaryota, Viridiplantae, Streptophyta, Magnoliopsida, Poales, Poaceae. The record is from Rfam.